This 397-nucleotide ribosomal RNA is filed under the name uncultured bacterium. RNAcentral's name for it is "partial 16S ribosomal RNA". It matches the Rfam family "Bacterial small subunit ribosomal RNA", at positions 523 to 918 of the family's 1533-position model. The record is from RNAcentral.
AUACGUAGGGGGCGAGCGUUGUCCGGAAUGAUUGGGCGUAAAGGGCGCGUAGGCGGCCCGGUAAGUCUGGAGUGAAAGUCCUGUUUUUAAGAUGGGAAUUGCUUUGGAUACUGUCGGGCUUGAGUGCAGGAGAGGUAAGUGGAAUUCCCAGUGUAGCGGUGAAAUGCGUAGAGAUUGGGAGGAACACCAGUGGCGAAGGCGGCUUACUGGACUGUAACUGACACUGAGGCACGAAAGCGUGGGGAGCAAACAGGAUUAGAUACCCUGGUAGUCCACGCUGUAAACGAUGAAUACUAGGUGUAGGGGGUAUCAACUCCCUCUGUGCCGCAGCAAACGCAAUAAGUAUUCCGCCUGGGGAGUACGGCCGCAAGGUUGAAACUCAAAUGAAUUGACGGGG